ACAUAAGAAACACGCCCAGUGUGCAUACUGAAUUAUUGAUGUAUGAUCCAUCUUAUACAAUGUAUAAUAUAAUAAUGUUACAUCACCACAAAAAAUGAUGAACGAUGGGGUUGGAGCCAUCCGGAUACAGCAUUUCCUGCUUUGCAGUAUGGCAGCUUUUCUAUCGGCGAGGGCACGACUCCUUUGCUAACUCUCCCGAGCUGACGAUGCGAACAUAUUUCCUAUAUACUUUUGUUGGCGGUCUCAUUCAGUUUUAUUCAAAGCUGGCGAAGAAAAGAAAAAUGACGACCUUUUUUUUCUCAACGAAAAGAGAAAAGGAUCGACGGCUUUGAUUCCGAUGUGGUGCAUUGCGGCGCAAAACUUUUUUUCUUUUUUCAAGCUUAUUAUUUAUUCCCCCUCCCUCCCCCCACCGUUUUAUGCUGCAUGUGUCUUUUUUACUGUUUCGAUCUACUACCCAAUAACUGACACGGAACCUUUUUGUAUAUUCUCCACGCAACACGCUCCAUCAAUGUAAAGUACCUUCCUCUGUCUCUAUAUACCAAGUUUUUGGACAA
Molecule: long non-coding RNA, 554 nt
Organism: Daphnia magna
Lineage: Eukaryota; Metazoa; Arthropoda; Branchiopoda; Diplostraca; Daphniidae
Exons: 2
Source: RefSeq, a predicted model, not a curated record